AUCGCUUCUCGGCCUUUUGGCUAAGAUCAAGUGUAAAAUCACCCUGUGAUCUGUCUUCAUCUAUUAUAAUUCAUCAUUUUUGGUUUUGAACCUAU
RNAcentral lists this small nuclear RNA (95 nucleotides) under Marmota monax (woodchuck). RNAcentral describes it as "U2 spliceosomal RNA". It matches the Rfam family "U2 spliceosomal RNA". Rfam says of the family: U2 is a small nuclear RNA (snRNA) component of the spliceosome (involved in pre-mRNA splicing). Lineage: Eukaryota; Metazoa; Chordata; Mammalia; Rodentia; Sciuridae. The record is from Rfam by way of RNAcentral.